RNAcentral lists this ribosomal RNA (465 nucleotides) under uncultured bacterium. RNAcentral's name for it is "partial 16S ribosomal RNA". It matches the Rfam family "Bacterial small subunit ribosomal RNA", at positions 28 to 507 of the family's 1533-position model. The record is from RNAcentral.
GACGAACGCUGGCGGCGUGCUUAACACAUGCAAGUCGAACGGAAAGGCCCCUUUGGGGGUACUCGAGUGGCGAACGGGGGAGUAACACGUGAGUAACCUGCCCUUGACUUCGGGAUAACUUCAGGAAACUGGGGCUAAUACCGGAUAGGAAUCCUUGCUGCAUGGCGGGGGUUGGAAAGCUUCGGCGGUUUUGGAUGGACUGGCGGCGUAUCAGCUUGUUGGUGGGGUAGUGGCUUACCAAGGCGUUGAGGGGUAGCCGGCCUGAGAGGGCGACCGGCCACCCUGGCUCUGACAUGCGGCCCAGACUCCGACGGGAGGCAACAGUGGGGAAUCUUGCUCCAUCCGCGGCGCCCUGAUGCAGCAACCCCGCGUGCGGGAUGCCGGUCUUCGUGUUGUAGACCGCUUUCAGCAGGGUCGACGCUUGUGGUGACGGUACCUGCAGAAGAAGCACCGGCUAACUACGUG